CCCCUAGUAGCUCAGAUGGUAAAGCAACUGCCUGCAAUGCAGGAGACCCAGGUUCAAUCCCUGGGUUGGGAA
This 72-nucleotide transfer RNA is filed under the name Bos taurus (domestic cattle). It matches the Rfam family "tRNA". Rfam says of the family: Transfer RNA (tRNA) molecules are approximately 80 nucleotides in length. Their secondary structure includes four short double-helical elements and three loops (D, anti-codon, and T loops). RNAcentral also lists the same sequence under 4 other names. The record is from Rfam by way of RNAcentral. Lineage: Eukaryota; Metazoa; Chordata; Mammalia; Artiodactyla; Bovidae.